CGAAAGCCUGACGGAGCAAUACCGCGUGAGGGAGGAAGGCCUUUGGGUUGUAAACCUCUUUUCUCAGGGAAGAAGUUCUGACGGUACCUGAGGAAUAAGCAUCGGCUAACUCCGUGCCAGCAGCCGCGGUAGUACGGAGGAUGCAAGCGUUAUCCGGAAUUAUUGGGCGUAAAGCGUCCGCAGGUGGUCUUUCAAGUCUGCUGUUAAAGACCAGAGCUUAACUCUGGGCAGGCGGUGGAAACUGGAAGACUAGAGUUCGGUAGGGGUAGCGGGAAUCCCCAGUGUAGCGGUGAAAUGCGUAGAUAUUGGGAAGAACAUCGGUGGCGAAGGCGCGCUACUGGACCGAAACUGACACUCAGGGACGAAAGCUAGGGUAGCGAAAGGAAUUAGAUACCCCUGUAGUCCUAGCUGUAAACGAUG
RNAcentral lists this ribosomal RNA (420 nucleotides) under uncultured cyanobacterium. Its description in RNAcentral is "bacterial SSU rRNA". It matches the Rfam family "Bacterial small subunit ribosomal RNA", at positions 376 to 811 of the family's 1533-position model. The record is from RNAcentral. Lineage: Bacteria; Bacillati; Cyanobacteriota.